AAGUAAGCUACUAAGGGCGUGCGGUGGAUGCCUAGGUGCCAAGAGGCGAUGAAGGACGCGGGUGGCUGCGAAAAGCCCCGGGGAGCUGUCAACCGAGCGUUGAUCCGGGGAUGUCCGAAUGGGGAAACCCAGCACUGCGAAUAGCGGUGUUACCUUCCACUGAAUACAUAGGUGGAAUGGAGCUAACCAGGGGAAGUGAAACAUCUCAGUACCCUGAGGAAGAGAAAACAAUGAGUGAUUCCCAAAGUAGUGGCGAGCGAAAUGGGAGAAGCCCAAACCGAAACCACGAAAGUGGCGUCGGGGUAGAGGGUCCACGGUAGGACUUUGACUUGCUAGCGGAAGCCUCUGGAAAGAGGCACCAAAGGGCGUGAUAGUCGCGUACGCGAAAGCGAGUUGGAGCUGAGUGGGUUACCCAAGUAGGGCGGGACACGUGCAAUCCUGCCUGAAUCCGCCGGGACCAUCCGGUAAGGCUAAAUACUCCUUGGCGACCGAUAGUGAACAAGUACCGCGAGGGAAAGGUGAAAAGAACCCCGGUGAGGGGAGUCAAAAGAACCUGAAACCGCAUGUCUACAAGCAGUUCGAGCACUACGGGGCAACCCAGUGCGAGAGCGUACCUUUUGCAUCAUGAUUCGGCGACUUAAUAUACGUAGCGAGGCUAAGCCGAUAGGUGGAGCCGUAGCGAAAGCGAGUCCGAAUAGGGCGAAGAGUUGCGUGUAUUAUAACCCGAAGCGGGGUGAUCUACACAUGGCCAGGUUGAAGUGCGGGUAACACCGCAUGGAGGACCGAACCCGUGAAAGUUGAAAAUUUCUGGGAUGAGCUGUGUGUAGGGGUGAAAGGCCAAUCAAACUCCGUGAUAGCUGGUUCUCCCCGAAAGAUAUUUAGGUAUCGGCUCGGGCAAUUCAAUGCCGGAGGUAGAGCACUGGAACGGCUAGGGGUCUCACCAGAUUACCAAACCGUACCAAACUCCGAAUGCCGGCAAUUGUUAUCCCGGGACGCAGUCAGUGGGUGAUAACGUCCAUUGGCAAGAGGGGAAUAACCCAGACCGACAGCUAAGGCCCCCAAAUCUAGUCUAAGUGAACACUAGAAAGGAUGUGGCAGGUCAUUGACAACCAGGAGGUUGGCUUAGAAGCAGCCAUCCUUUAAAGAAAGCGUAAUAGCUCACUGGUCAAGACAGGCCGCGCCGAAAAUGUAACGGGGCUCAAGACUAGUGCCGAAGCUUCGGGUCACACGUAAAGCGUGUGGCGGUAGGGGAGCGUCCCAGUUGCAGCGAAGGUCGACUGAAAAGGCGGCUGGAGCGGCUGGGAGUGCUGAUGCCGAAAUGAGUAGCGAUAAAGGGGGUGAGAAACCCCCUCGCCGUAAGCCCAAGGUUUCCUGGGUCAAGUUAAUCUUCCCAGGGUUAGUCGGAACCUAAGCCGAGGCCGAAAGGCGUAGGUGAUGGAAAGCGGGUUAAUAUUCCUGCACCAUCUUGUGAGCGUUGAACUAAGGGAGGACGGAGAAAGCUAGGCGAGCUGACCGGUGGUUGUGUCAGUCUAAAGGUGUAGGGGUGUCGCGUACGAUUAAAGGCGCGGCAGC
Molecule: ribosomal RNA, 1572 nt
Filed under: Comamonas sp. JC664
Lineage: Bacteria; Pseudomonadati; Pseudomonadota; Betaproteobacteria; Burkholderiales; Comamonadaceae
Description: partial 23S ribosomal RNA
Rfam family: Bacterial large subunit ribosomal RNA
Source: RNAcentral